RNAcentral lists this unclassified non-coding RNA (224 nucleotides) under Hevea brasiliensis (rubber tree). The record is from RNAcentral. Lineage: Eukaryota; Viridiplantae; Streptophyta; Magnoliopsida; Malpighiales; Euphorbiaceae.
CUUGAAGCUCCUGCAAGGUAUGAGGGGUUGGACCAAUCGGAUUAGCACCCUCGUUCUUGCCAGGGAUGGCAUUGUCAGCUUGGUACUUUGCUAUCGCAGCAGGUCCAUUGCGAUCAAACCUCACUUUAUCCUUCCACCACUCCCUGAGAUUAUCCGAUGCCCCAGUCACCGGUUUGCCUUUCUCCGGGAUAAUUCCAUAAACAAAACCCUGAGCAUUACAAACC